GACAGAGGCCCCGAGCGUUAAUCGGAAUUACUGGGCUUAAAGGGUGCGUAGGCUGAUCCGAAAGUGCUCCGUGAAAUCCCCCGGCUCAACCGGGGAACAGCGAGGCAUACUGCGGAUCUUGAGGCAGGUAGGCGCCGAGGGAACAGUAGGUGGAGCGGUGAAAUGCGUAGAUAUCUACUGGAACGCCGAUGGUGAAGACGCUCGGCUGGGCCUGUCCUGACGCUGAGGCACGAAAGCGUGGGGAGCAAACGGG
This 253-nucleotide ribosomal RNA is filed under the name uncultured bacterium. RNAcentral describes it as "partial 16S ribosomal RNA". It matches the Rfam family "Bacterial small subunit ribosomal RNA", at positions 524 to 776 of the family's 1533-position model. The record is from RNAcentral.